This 1215-nucleotide long non-coding RNA is filed under the name Fukomys damarensis (Damara mole-rat). RNAcentral's name for it is "lncRNA (ENSFDAG00000023980.1)". Lineage: Eukaryota; Metazoa; Chordata; Mammalia; Rodentia; Bathyergidae. The record is from RNAcentral.
AAGAUGUUGAGUGUUUAGCUGUUUUCCAGUGGAAGAGGAGCUACGUUGAUAGAAUAGGUCUUUGUUCGUGUUUCUUUAUGGAGUUGAGCAAAAACAACAUGAAAAGAAACAGUAAAGUGAGGGAACAGAACGAUGACAUCCUUCGGCUAUCAUGCUGUGUUCUCUUCAUCACACAAUUUACUACGGAGCACUACCGGAAAGUUCUCAGGAGAAGAGUGACAAAAUGAGAUCUGAAGGAAGAUAUACCGAGAAAGGUGGUGGAGAAGAAGUGAGUGCCGGAACGUGUGAGACUCUGGCAGCUUUGUUCAGAGUUGCUCAAGUGAUACUCUGCACACAAGUCCUUCAGGGCCUGGGGGAGAUGGAGAUGCGAAGCUUGAUUUGUCCUGGGGACAGGGGCUCACUGAAGACGGUUUCCUAAAUUAGUGAAAAAGAGAGAACAGUACAAAGGCUUCACACCUUUUCAGUACCAGGGACCAGUUUGCUGAAAGACAAUUUUUCUCACAGACCAACUGCAGAACAGGUUUGAGAGGCUCAGGCUGAUUCAAACACAUUACAUUUAUUCUGUACUUUAUUUAUAUUAUUAUUUCAUUUUUGUAUAUAGUGAAAUAACUAUACAAUUCACCAUAACGGGAAUCAGCGAGAUCCUUUAACUCGUCUGCCUACAACUAGAUGGUCUCUUAUGGGAGUGGUGGUAUAUAGUGACACACAAAGUGUGUGGCUUGUGUCCAAUCUGUUCUGUUUUGGGUCCAAGCUAAUCUUGUUUUGGUUGCUGUCACUGCAGAAAACCCUGCUUCACAAAGACCAGCUGUUGGAAGUGGAAGGAGGCUUUUCGGUCCUUUUGUGUCAGUCUCAAGACACUCCACAUUGACUUUAAUCCAAAAUGUAUGGAGAUUUAAAGUUGCCUCAAACAUUGAAGGCCCCAUGCAUUCACCGUCUCAAGCAGUUGAUCUUCUUCUAUCACAGACAAAGUCAAUUCACCGGGCUUAUUCAUAAAUGGGUCGUAAAUUCACUCCUUCCCAGUUCAGGGGUCUUUUGUAGUUGGAAAGUAACGUUCAAACUUUUUUGAAAGCUGAGAUAGGUGACCAAGCACCAGCUGAGAGGAAGAUGGUCUUAGUUCAGUCUCUUUCAACAUCCCUGCUAAUGAUUGAAAUACAUCAAAAAUGCCAGUGUGCACCCAUUGCCCCUGUAAUUCCCAUUUGGCUUUGAAUACAGCUG